RNAcentral lists this ribosomal RNA (494 nucleotides) under uncultured bacterium. RNAcentral's name for it is "partial 16S ribosomal RNA". It matches the Rfam family "Bacterial small subunit ribosomal RNA", at positions 28 to 507 of the family's 1533-position model. The record is from RNAcentral.
GACGAACGCUGGCGGCGUGCUUAACACAUGCAAGUCGAACGGAAAGGCCUGCUUUCCCUUGUGUAUUGCGGGUACUCGAGUGGCGAACGGGUGAGUAACACGUGAGUGAUCUGCCCCCAACUUGGGUAUAAGCCUGGGAAACUGGGUCUAAUUCCCGAUAGGACUGCAGGGUGGUGCCUGUGGUGGAAAACGAUUUUCUAGUGGUUGGGGAUGAGCUCGCGGCCUAUCAGCUUGUUGGUGGGGUAAUGGCCUACCAAGGCGGCGACGGGUAGCCGGCCUGGGAGGGUGGACGGCCACAUUGGGACGGAGAUACGGCCCAGACUCCUACGGGAGGCAGCAGUGGGGAAUAUUGCACAAUGGGCGGAAGCCUGAUGCAGCGACGCCGCGUGGGGGAUGACGGCCUUCGGGUUGUAAACUCCUUUCGACCGCGAGGAAGCCACCUGGUUGGAAGGGUGGUGACGGUAGUGGUAGAAGAAGCACCGGCUAACUACGUG